Molecule: non-coding RNA, 22 nt
Filed under: Rattus norvegicus (Norway rat)
Lineage: Eukaryota; Metazoa; Chordata; Mammalia; Rodentia; Muridae
Source: RNAcentral
UGAAUAGUUUAUAAAUGCCCCU